AUUGAACGCUGGCGGCAGGCUUAACACAUGCAAGUCGAGCGGGGGAAGGUAGCUUGCUACCGGACCUAGCGGCGGACGGGUGAGUAAUGCUUAGGAAUCUGCCUAUUAGUGGGGGACAACAUCUCGAAAGGGAUGCUAAUACCGCAUACGUCCUACGGGAGAAAGCAGGGGAUCUUCGGACCUUGCGCUAAUAGAUGAGCCUAAGUCGGAUUAGCUAGUUGGUGGAGUAAAGGCCUACCAAGGCGACGAUCUGUAGCGGGUCUGAGAGGAUGAUCCGGCACACUGGGACUGAGACACGGCCCAGACUCCUACGGGAGGCAGCAGUGGGGAAUAUUGGACAAUGGGGGGAACCCUGAUCCAGCCAUGCCGCGUGUGUGAAGAAGGCCUUAUGGUUGUAAAGCACUUUAAGCGAGGAGGAGGCUACUUUAGUUAAUACCUAGAGAUAGUGGACGUUACUCGCAGAAUAAGCACCGGCUAACUCUGUGCCAGCAGCCGCGGUAA
Molecule: ribosomal RNA, 501 nt
Filed under: uncultured bacterium
Lineage: Bacteria
Description: partial 16S ribosomal RNA
Rfam family: Bacterial small subunit ribosomal RNA
Source: RNAcentral